AGCAUAUCAAUAAGCGGAGGAAAAGAAACUAACAAGGAUUCCCCUAGUAACUGCGAGUGAAGCGGGAAAAGCUCAAAUUUAAAAUCUGGCGGUCUUCGGYCGUCCGAGUUGUAGUCUGGAGAAGUGCUUUCCGCGCUGGACCGUGUACAAGUCUCUUGGAACAGAGCGUCAUAGAGGGUGAGAAUCCCGUCUUUGACACGGACUACCAGUGCUUUGUGAUGCGCUCUCAAAGAGUCGAGUUGUUUGGGAAUGCAGCUCAAAAUGGGUGGUAAAUUCCAUCUAAAGCUAAAUAUUGGCGAGAGACCGAUAGCGAACAAGUACCGUGAGGGAAAGAUGAAAAGCACUUUGGAAAGAGAGUUAAACAGUACGUGAAAUUGCUGAAAGGGAAACGAUUGAAGUCAGUCGCGUUAGCCAGGACUCAGCCUUGUUUUUACUUGGUGCAUUUUCUGGUUGACGGGCCAGCAUCGAUUUUGACCGCCGGAAAAAGAUUGGGGGAAUGUGGCACCUUCGGGUGUGUUAUAGCCCUCAGUCACAUACGGCGAUUGGGAUCGAGGACCGCAGCACGCCUUUAUGGCCGGGGUUCGCCCACGUUCGUGCUUAGGAUGCUGGCGUAAUGGCUUUAAACGACCCGUCUUGAAACACGGACCAAGGAGUCUAACAUGCCUGCGAGUGUUUGGGUGGAAAACCCGAGCGCGUAAUGAAAGUGAAAGUUGAGAUCCCUGUCGCGGGGAGCAUCGACGCCCGGACUUGAACUUCGGUGAUAGAUCUGCGGUAGAGCAUGUAUGUUGGGACCCGAAAGAUGGUGAACUAUGCCUGAAUAGGGUGAAGCCAGAGGAAACUCUGGUGGAGGCUCGUAGCGAUUCUGACGUGCAAAUCGAUCGUCAAAUUUGGGUAUAGGGGCGAAAGACUAAUCGAACCAUCUAGUAGCUGGUC
Molecule: ribosomal RNA, 933 nt
Filed under: Fomitopsis serialis
Lineage: Eukaryota; Fungi; Basidiomycota; Agaricomycetes; Polyporales; Fomitopsidaceae
Description: LSU rRNA
Rfam family: Eukaryotic large subunit ribosomal RNA
Source: RNAcentral